Centruroides sculpturatus (bark scorpion) is the source of this 1004-nucleotide long non-coding RNA. RefSeq lists it as uncharacterized. The record is from RefSeq and is a predicted model, not a curated record. NCBI's taxonomy places the organism in Eukaryota, Metazoa, Arthropoda, Arachnida, Scorpiones, Buthidae. The transcript has 3 exons.
GCAUUCAUAGAAUAAUUUCGUUGUAGAUAUCAAAUACUGUAAUCGAAAUAUGCACUCUCAGGUAUAUUGUGACGAAAUAACAGGUUUUAACACAUUCAAUUUAGUGCAUUGAGUAGAUAAACAGACGUUCUGUCGAUGACUGUACACUGAGAGUUUAUUAAAAGAUUUUCGUGCAAUGUAUAAUUUUGAAGAUUGAGUAAAAGCAAUAAAAUUUAAAAGCCACAAGGUAUAUGAAGAGGAACUGUUGUGAUGAAGAUAUGAGAAAUUGCACAUCAUUUUGAACAUGUCAUGUUUUUUAAAGUGUGGUCCCGUGAUAUGUUUCUCAUUAUAUUUAGGCUGUUUCUUUCUAAUUGUUUCGGGUCUAUCUAUGCUAGCUAAAAGGAUAAUAUUUCCUAAUCAAGGGAAAAAUUUCCCUUUCCUUACGCUAUGUUUUGCUGAUGUAUUGAUUAUUUUAUACUGUUCUGGAAUUGUAUUCUCCACAUUUGCGGCCUGUAUAGGAGACAUUGAAGACUGUGACAGCGUUUCCGAUAGGAGAAAUUCUCAACGAACACUACAAAAUUCAGGCUCAUCGUUGGAGCUCGUUGAUCUUGAAUGUAAUUUGCCGGAAAAUGAUGAACCUCCUCCGUAUGAAGACCCACCCUCUUACGCUACAGUAGCUUUCGAUGAGUUAAAACACGAGGAAGAUCAAAAAUGUGAGAGACAAAAUGUUGCUGGUGACUGUAGUAACUACAUUUGAUGUAUUGCAUUUAAAUGGAAUGAUAAUUAUUAUUAUAUAUUAUUAACUUUUUUCUCAAUGUGUAUAAGUUAAUUAAAACUGGUUCAUAUUCAAAAGAUUUCACGAAAUGUCUUAUUGAUUUGUUUCGCAUUAUUCGGAAGUAAUAUGAAUGUAACAAAUAAAAAAUAUGAUAAGUAAAUUGCAAUAAAUGAUAAGUUGUUUAUGGAUAUCAACUUUUAAAAUGCAUUUGUAUCAAAAUAUCCUGUCGAAAUUAAAAAGCUUUCUCUUC